Molecule: ribosomal RNA, 253 nt
Filed under: uncultured bacterium
Lineage: Bacteria
Description: partial 16S ribosomal RNA
Rfam family: Bacterial small subunit ribosomal RNA
Source: RNAcentral
UACGAAGGGUGCAAGCGUUAUUCGGAAUUAUCGGGCGUAAAGCGUGCGUAGGCGGUUCGUUAAGUCUGUCGUGAAAGCCCCGGGCUCAACCUGGGAAUGGCGAUGGAUACUGGCGGGCUAGAGUGCGGUAGAGGAGAGUGGAAUUCCCGGUGUAGCAGUGAAAUGCGUAGAGAUCGGGAGGAACAUCAGUUGCGAAGGCGGCUCUCUGGACCAGCACUGACACUGAGGCACGAAAGCGUGGGGAGCAAACAGG